GAGUUUGAUCUUGGCUCAGAUUGAACGCUGGCGGCAUGCCUUACACAUGCAAGUCGAACGGUAACGCGGGGCAACCUGGCGACGAGUGGCGAACGGGUGAGUAAUGCAUCGGAACGUGCCCAGUAGUGGGGGAUAGCCCGGCGAAAGCCGGAUUAAUACCGCAUACGACCUACGGGUGAAAGCGGGGGACCGCAAGGCCUCGCGCUAUUGGAGCGGCCGAUGUCAGAUUAGGUAGUUGGUGGGGUAAAGGCCUACCAAGCCGACGAUCUGUAGCUGGUCUGAGAGGACGACCAGCCACACUGGGACUGAGACACGGCCCAGACUCCUACGGGAGGCAGCAGUGGGGAAUUUUGGACAAUGGGCGCAAGCCUGAUCCAGCCAUGCCGCGUGCGGGAAGAAGGCC
RNAcentral lists this ribosomal RNA (403 nucleotides) under uncultured beta proteobacterium. Its description in RNAcentral is "bacterial SSU rRNA". It matches the Rfam family "Bacterial small subunit ribosomal RNA", at positions 9 to 416 of the family's 1533-position model. The record is from RNAcentral. Lineage: Bacteria; Pseudomonadati; Pseudomonadota; Betaproteobacteria.